GGUGGAGCAUGUGGUUUAAUUCGAAGAUACGCGAAGAACCUUACCCAGGCUUGAUAUCUUAGGAAUCCCGUAGAGAUAGGGGAGUGCUUGCUUGCAAGAACCUAAAGACAGGUGCUGCACGGCUGUCGUCAGCUCGUGUCGUGAGAUGUUGGGUUAAGUCCCGCAACGAGCGCAACCCCCGUCAUUAGUUGCUAACGGGUUAUGCCGAGAACUCUAAUGAGACUGCCUUCGUAAGGAGGAGGAAGGUGGGGACGACGUCAAGUCAUCAUGGCCCUUAUGCCUGGGGCGACACACGUGCUACAAUGGUAUGUACAGAGAGACGCAAUACGGCGACGUGGAGCAAAUCUCUAAAACAUAUCUCAGUUCGGAUUGUAGUCUGCAACUCGACUACAUGAAGCUGGAAUCGCUAGUAAUCGCGGAUCAGCCAUGCCGCGGUGAAUACGUUCCCGGGUCUU
This 455-nucleotide ribosomal RNA is filed under the name uncultured Helicobacter sp. RNAcentral describes it as "bacterial SSU rRNA". It matches the Rfam family "Bacterial small subunit ribosomal RNA", at positions 931 to 1382 of the family's 1533-position model. The record is from RNAcentral. Lineage: Bacteria; Pseudomonadati; Campylobacterota; Epsilonproteobacteria; Campylobacterales; Helicobacteraceae.